UUUAAGGUGGUACCCAACACUUCCACUAAAAUUAAUUCGGCUCGUUUAAUUUUCAUAAAAUUUGGUCAAAGUAUUUAUUUUACUUUGACCCUUUAACAAAAAUAUAAAAAGUUCAAAAAUUUUGAACCAACCAUUUUGUCAGAAAAAUUAUACUGGUUAUAUUGCAGUUUGACAAACACCAAUUUUGAUCAUUGAGAAGCUUAAUAUUCCUUUUACAACACAAC
Molecule: long non-coding RNA, 224 nt
Filed under: Mytilus galloprovincialis (Mediterranean mussel)
Lineage: Eukaryota; Metazoa; Mollusca; Bivalvia; Mytilida; Mytilidae
Source: RNAcentral